GGUUAUUAGAGAACAACUAGCACUAAGCGUGACCAAUACGAGAAGUUACAUGGAUGUCUGCCCACUCGUUAGUGACUUUCUCGAUGCUGUAGUUGUAUAACUGAUCUUUUGACCUGCAAUAUUACAACUGCUCGCAGUGAGGCUACUAGAGUUUGAUUACACAUAAAUAUGAAUCUCAAUAAGCCCUUGUAGUGGAUGUUGGUGACAGUUGGUCCAC
RNAcentral lists this long non-coding RNA (217 nucleotides) under Elaeis guineensis (African oil palm). RNAcentral's name for it is "long non-coding RNA (EGUI_LNC059505)". Lineage: Eukaryota; Viridiplantae; Streptophyta; Magnoliopsida; Arecales; Arecaceae. The record is from RNAcentral.